RNAcentral lists this ribosomal RNA (430 nucleotides) under Pseudomonadota bacterium. RNAcentral's name for it is "Proteobacteria bacterium partial 16S ribosomal RNA". It matches the Rfam family "Bacterial small subunit ribosomal RNA", at positions 355 to 776 of the family's 1533-position model. Lineage: Bacteria; Pseudomonadati; Pseudomonadota. The record is from RNAcentral.
UGGGGAAUAUUGGACAAUGGGGGGAACCCUGAUCCAGCCAUGCCGCGUGUGUGAAGAAGGCCUUAUGGUUGUAAAGCACUUUAAGCGAGGAGGAGGGUACUGGUAUUAAUACUACCAGGUACUGGACGUUACUCGCAGAAUAAGCACCGGCUAACUCUGUGCCAGCAGCCGCGGUAAUACAGAGGGUGCGAGCGUUAAUCGGAUUUACUGGGCGUAAAGCGUGCGUAGGCGGCUAAUUGAGUCGGAUGUGAAAUCCCCGAGCUUAACUUGGGAAUUGCAUUCGAUACUGGUUAGCUAGAGUGUGGGAGAGGAUGGUAGAAUUCCAGGUGUAGCGGUGAAAUGCGUAGAGAUCUGGAGGAAUACCGAUGGCGAAGGCGGCCAUCUGGCCUAACACUGACGCUGAGGUACGAAAGCAUGGGGAGCAAACAGG